RNAcentral lists this ribosomal RNA (410 nucleotides) under uncultured bacterium. Its description in RNAcentral is "bacterial SSU rRNA". It matches the Rfam family "Bacterial small subunit ribosomal RNA", at positions 370 to 772 of the family's 1533-position model. The record is from RNAcentral.
AAUGGGGGCAACCCUGAUCCAGCCAUGCCGCGUGCGGGAAGAAGGCCUUCGGGUUGUAAACCGCUUUCGGACGGAAAGAAAUCGCAUGGACUAAUACUCUGUGUGGAUGACGGUACCGUAAGAAGAAGCACCGGCUAACUACGUGCCAGCAGCCGCGGUAAUACGUAGGGUGCGAGCGUUAAUCGGAAUUACUGGGCGUAAAGCGUGCGCAGGCGGUUUCUUAAGCCAGACGUGAAAUCCCCGGGCUUAACCUGGGAACUGCGUUUGGAACUGGGAGACUAGAGUGUGUCAGAGGGAGGUGGAAUUCCGCGUGUAGCAGUGAAAUGCGUAGAUAUGCGGAGGAACACCGAUGGCGAAGGCAGCCUCCUGGGAUAACACUGACGCUCAUGCACGAAAGCGUGGGGAGCAAA